Molecule: long non-coding RNA, 1004 nt
Organism: Rhincodon typus (whale shark)
Lineage: Eukaryota; Metazoa; Chordata; Chondrichthyes; Orectolobiformes; Rhincodontidae
Exons: 3
Source: RefSeq, a predicted model, not a curated record
UCUGUGGGACAGCGAAGCUGCUCUCUCUCCCCCUGUCUCUGUGGGACAGUGAAGCUGCUCUCUCUCUCUCUCCAGACUGUCACCGGGUCUCUGCCUUUGGUCCUGAUGGUCUCCUCAGAAUUUCCAAGAGGUUUCAAGAAAGAUCAGUCUGCAGACGUUCCUGUGGUAUGUCAUCACAAUGCUGCAGUAUCACCGAGUCCUCCAGAGAAACUACUUUGGGAGUGCAGUGCCUACUCUGACGGUUAUUAAAGCAGCUGCCCACCCACAAACAGUGAGGAAAUGACUGAGCCCUUUUCGGUCUUAAACCAGACACCAGACCAAAAGCUGAGAUUUAAAACUGGAAAUUGCCUGUUUUGUGUGAAUUGCUUUCACAGUAGAUGGAACAAUGAUUCUGUAGUUGAGAUGCUUUUUUCUGGGACACACUCCAAUCCUGCUCUCUCUGUGCCAUUCUUACUGGAUUUUGAGAGACUGUCAGUUAUUCUGGAGGGAUAAUCCAAAGUCUGUGACUCAGUAAAUUGAAAGACCCUGCGCAUUGUGUUCCAAAAGAUUUGGGCGUCAAGGAAACAUAGUCAAAAUCCUGCAAUUCUUUCUGAUAAUGUAACUGCUUAUGUCCUGAGAAGGAGAUCUGAAUGAGAGGCCUUCAGUCAGGACCAUAUCCCGUAAGGAUGUAGCAGAGGUUGUUCAGGGCUAAUUGACAGCACCCUUCACCCCUCACCAACUGCUCGCUGAGUUGCUGCGAGCUGUGACUUUUAACUAAAUAGGUCAGAGAACUUUUCUAAGUGAACCAGCCACCCUGUGCCUCCCACAAACCAAUGGAAACAUCCAGAGAAGGAAGACUGAACAGCAAAGUUCAAAUCAGUACAAGAGUCAUCGCAGCAAAUCCUGUGACCAGGAACCAUCGAACUGAUCUCCCGUCUUUCCAUUAUUUCUCUGUCUAUAAAUUCUGUGCCUGUGGACUUCCCUCCACUCCACCUGAUGAAGGAGCAGUGCUCCAAAACUUGUGA